RNAcentral lists this ribosomal RNA (253 nucleotides) under uncultured bacterium. RNAcentral describes it as "partial 16S ribosomal RNA". It matches the Rfam family "Bacterial small subunit ribosomal RNA", at positions 524 to 776 of the family's 1533-position model. The record is from RNAcentral.
UACAGAGGUGGCAAGCGUUGUUCGGAAUUACUGGGCGUAAAGGGCGCGUAGGCGGCUUGGUCAGUCCCGUGUGAAAUCCCUCGGCUCAACUGAGGAACUGCACGGGAAACUGCCUGGCUUGAGUUCGGGAGAGGGAAGCGGAAUUCCGGGUGUAGAGGUGAAAUUCGUAGAUAUUCGGAGGAACACCAGUGGCGAAGGCGGCACACUGGUCCGGUACUGACGCUGAGGUGCGAAAGCGUGGGGAGCAAACAGG